RNAcentral lists this ribosomal RNA (254 nucleotides) under uncultured bacterium. RNAcentral's name for it is "partial 16S ribosomal RNA". It matches the Rfam family "Bacterial small subunit ribosomal RNA", at positions 524 to 776 of the family's 1533-position model. The record is from RNAcentral.
UACGGGGGGAGCAAGCGUUGUUCGGAUUUACUGGGCGUAAAGGGCGCGUAGGCGGCCACCGCAAGUCGGUUGUGAAAUCUCUGGGCUUAACCCAGAAGGGUCAACCGAUACUGCGGGGCUAGAGUGCAGAAGGGGCAACUGGAAUUCUCGGUGUAGCGGUGAAAUGCGUAGAUAUCGAGAGGAACACCUGCGGCGAAGGCGGGUUGCUGGGCUGACACUGACGCUGAUGCGCGAAAGCUAGGGGAGCGAACGGG